This 911-nucleotide long non-coding RNA is filed under the name Triticum aestivum (bread wheat). Its description in RNAcentral is "long non-coding RNA (TAES_LNC007197)". The record is from RNAcentral. Lineage: Eukaryota; Viridiplantae; Streptophyta; Magnoliopsida; Poales; Poaceae.
ACUGUUUCACCCUGCCAAAACAAUCAGAUAUGGUUAGUAACUAUUUCUUAACUUGAUUUUUUUUUCAAUUAAAUAUAUAAAAAACAGACCUGCUCAUCCAUUAGGAUCAUAUCUAGGCUAAUAAGCUCAUUGGUCGUAGGAUUGACUGAAUCCCACACUCAUUGUGUUCACUUGAAUGUCCUAAUUAUGUCCGCUUGUAAGUUGUCGCUCAACUUCUUGUAUGCCAUAGUGUUAUAUCCUCAGAAUUAAAAGGAAACAAUAUGUCAAGUAAUAUAGGAUUUAUGAAGAUUCUAGCCAGAAAAAGUAAGUUUGCUAAAUAACAAUCACCAAAAUCUGAUGAUUCAGGCCAGAAGUGCUUUGGCGUGACUUCUUCCAACGUUGAUUGGAGCAAUUGGGCGUGGCUUCAUCAGGCGUCAAGCAUGCUUUGGCGUAAAUUUGUCGGACGUCAAGUGAAGCAGCUGGGCAUGGAUUUUUCUGGUAGCUCCGAUGACUUCAAUCUGUUCAAGUCAUGGUGAUUGUCGACUUCUAAUUGCUUGGUGUGUGAUUGUGCGGCCGACUGUACUUGUUUAGACGGGUUGAGGUGGCUGAGACGUGUGGAAAUUUGAUCGUAACCUUGUACUAUUUUUUCUUUUUUAAAAUUUUCAUCACAUGAGAUGGGUUUGUAUGUAUUCGUUCCUGUUUUGGAAUUUUCAUCAUGUGAGAUACGUCUCCUACUUGCAUCCAUUCCAAACUCUUCCAAGUUUUAUCCCAAUAGCUUUUUUAAUUGCUUUUAGCACGUACUGUACGUGGCUGAGCUUAUCCCCCCGUCCUUUCCUAUUAGGACAUGCAACGUUUCCAGCCCGUGUAUGUGCUGGACUUUGAGAUGUGCACAUGUAUGUCCGGCAAUAUUUAGAAGAAAAAAAGAGUUGUAG